RNAcentral lists this ribosomal RNA (723 nucleotides) under uncultured bacterium. RNAcentral describes it as "bacterial SSU rRNA". It matches the Rfam family "Bacterial small subunit ribosomal RNA", at positions 111 to 812 of the family's 1533-position model. The record is from RNAcentral.
UAACACGUAAACAACCUGCCUUCAGGAUGGGGACGACAGACGGAAACGACUGCUAAUACCGAAUGUGUUCCGGAGACCGCAUGAUUUCCGGAAGAAAGGAUGGCCUCUAUUUAUAAGCUAUCGCCUGAAGAGGGGUUUGCGUCUGAUUAGGCAGUUGGUGAGGUAACGGCCCACCAAACCUACGAUCAGUAGCCGGUCUGAGAGGAUGAACGGCCACACUGGAACUGAGACACGGUCCAGACUCCUACGGGAGGCAGCAGUGGGGAAUCUUCCGCAAUGGACGAAAGUCUGACGGAGCAACGCCGCGUGAGUGAUGACGGCCUUCGGGUUGUAAAGCUCUGUGAUCGGGGACGAAUGGCUGGUAUGCUAAUACCAUAUCAGAGUGACGGUACCCGAAUAGCAAGCCACGGCUAACUACGUGCCAGCAGCCGCGGUAAUACGUAGGUGGCAAGCGUUGUCCGGAAUUAUUGGGCGUAAAGCGCGCGCAGGCGGCUUCUUAAGUCCAUCUUAAAAGUGCGGGGCUUAACCCCGUGAUGGGAUGGAAACUGGGAGGCUGGAGUAUCGGAGAGGAAAGUGGAAUUCCUAGUGUAGCGGUGAAAUGCGUAGAGAUUAGGAAGAACACCGGUGGCGAAGGCGACUUUCUGGACGACAACUGACGCUGAGGCGCGAAAGCGUGGGAGCAAACAGGAUUAGAUACCCUGUAGCCCACGCCGUAAACGAUGA